CAAUAGCGUAUAUUAAAGUUGUUGCGGUUAAAAAGCUCGUAGUUGGAUUUCUGCUGAGAACGACCGGUCCGCCCUUUGGGUGUGUAUCUGGCUCUUUCUUGGCAUCUUCUUGGUGAACGUUGCUGCACUUGACUGUGUGGAGCGCUACCCAGGACUUUUACUUUGAGGAAAUUAGAGUGUUUCAAGCAGGCAUACGCCUUGAAUACAUUAGCAUGGAAUAAUAAGAUAGGACCUCGGUUCUAUUUUGUUGGUUUCUAGAGCUGAGGUAAUGAUUGAUAGGGAUAGUUGGGGGCAUUCGUAUUUAACUGUCAGAGGUGAAAUUCUUGGAUUUGUUAAAGACGGACUACUGCGAANGNAUUUGCNAAGGAUGUUUNCAUUG
This 379-nucleotide ribosomal RNA is filed under the name uncultured eukaryote. RNAcentral's name for it is "partial 18S ribosomal RNA". It matches the Rfam family "Eukaryotic small subunit ribosomal RNA", at positions 592 to 975 of the family's 1831-position model. The record is from RNAcentral.